UACGGGAGGCAGCAGUAAGGGAUAUUGGUCAAUGGGGGAACCCCUGAACCAGCAACGCCGCGUGAGGGAAGACGGUUUUCGGAUUGUAAACCUCUGUCCUCUGUGAAGAUGAUGACGGUAGCAGAGGAGGAAGCUCCGGCUAACUACGUGCCAGCAGCCGCGGUAAUACGUAGGGAGCGAGCGUUGUCCGGAUUUACUGGGUGUAAAGGGUGCGUAGGCGGCUGUGCAAGUCAGUAGUGAAAUCCAUGGGCUUAACCCAUGAACUGCUAUUGAAACUGCACAGCUUGAGUGAAGUAGAGGUAGGCGGAAUUCCCGGUGUAGCGGUGAAAUGCGUAGAGAUCGGGAGGAACACCAGUGGCGAAGGCGGCCUACUGGGCUUUAACUGACGCUGAGGCACGAAGGCGUGGGUAGCAAACAGGAUUAGAUACCCUGGUAGUCCACGCUGUAAACGAUGAUUACUAGGUGUGGGGGGACUGAACCCUUCC
RNAcentral lists this ribosomal RNA (485 nucleotides) under uncultured bacterium. RNAcentral's name for it is "bacterial SSU rRNA". It matches the Rfam family "Bacterial small subunit ribosomal RNA", at positions 340 to 842 of the family's 1533-position model. The record is from RNAcentral.